This is a non-coding RNA of Colossoma macropomum (tambaqui), 651 nucleotides long. The record is from the annotation of a RefSeq genome assembly. NCBI's taxonomy places the organism in Eukaryota, Metazoa, Chordata, Actinopteri, Characiformes, Serrasalmidae.
AAUUGAACAAACUGCAAGGUACUGUACCUCAGUAUACACGAGUGAUUAAACAUAAUUAAACAUGCAUGGUUAUAACCUCAUAAACACCAAACAAGUAACAGAAAAGUAGCAAAAAUUAAGUCUAAAAACAACAUUAUAAAUUAAUUAUAACUGACUACUGUCAACAGUUAAGAAAUAAUAUUUUACUUUUGGCUGGGAGAUUAAAUAACUGUGAUGCAUCUGAGCUGCAUUCCUCUACAGAAUGUAGGAGGAGUCUUUACAUGCUUGAAAAGUAGCAUCCAAAUCUCUCCUCAUUAUCUGAACACUGGAACCACCAUGAUGUUUCUGUGCUCUCUGACUGUCUUUAUGAUCAUGAUAGGCAACAGUAGUGCACAGUCAAUAGCACCCCUGGAGAACAAAACACAGGUUCAUGCUUAUGAGGAUGAGACAGUUACUCUCUCCUGCACAUAUGAGUAUGAUGGUGUUGUGCGUAAUCUGCAGUGGUAUCGUGAGUAUCCUGGAUCCAGACCAGAGUAUUUACUGAUGAUCAUUCCAGCAUCAAAAGAUGUGAGCCAUGCAACCCCACAGUUUCCACGACUGAAUGCUGAUGUGGAUGUUAAAAGAGUGGAUCUGAUCAUCUCCUCUGCUGCAGUAUCUGACUCUGCACUCUAC